CAUUGUAAAAUUAUAUUUGAACUUUUACCUGCUGCAGGGCUUGCCGAUUAAUAUUAUUGUUGGUUCUCAUGUUUGGGUUGGAGAUCCAGAAUUAGUCUGGGUUGAUGGACAAGUUUCAAACAUUGAUGGUGAGGAAGCUGAGAUUCAAACUAGCAAUGGAAAGAUGAGCCUAUAUUUUUGUCAUACUUACAGUAUAAUAAAAGGCCAUGUGACCUUUGUCAAAAAAAAUGUAUGAUAAAAGAUUGGCAAUGAUCUUUCUCAAUUUGUGGGGCCUAUUAUCUUGAAUCAACUUCUACAGUUAGAAGAUGUUGUUGUGGAUGAGUUAAUGAGGAAGUUCUUCAAAAAUUAUACAAACUUGUGCAAAUUCUUUCCAAGAAAAAGCAAC
Molecule: long non-coding RNA, 385 nt
Organism: Humulus lupulus (European hop)
Lineage: Eukaryota; Viridiplantae; Streptophyta; Magnoliopsida; Rosales; Cannabaceae
Exons: 3
Source: RefSeq, a predicted model, not a curated record